RNAcentral lists this ribosomal RNA (529 nucleotides) under Salmonella enterica. RNAcentral's name for it is "partial 23S ribosomal RNA". It matches the Rfam family "Bacterial large subunit ribosomal RNA", at positions 1 to 560 of the family's 2925-position model. Lineage: Bacteria; Pseudomonadati; Pseudomonadota; Gammaproteobacteria; Enterobacterales; Enterobacteriaceae. The record is from RNAcentral.
GGGUUGUGAGGUUAAGCGACUAAGCGUACACGGUGGAUGCCCUGGCAGUCAGAGGCGAUGAAGGGCGUGCUAAUCUGCGAUAAGCGCCGGUAAGGUGAUAUGAACCGUUAUAACCGGCGAUACCCGAAUGGGGAAACCCAGUGUGAUUCGUCACACUAUCAUUAACUGAAUCCAUAGGUUAAUGAGGCGAACCGGGGGAACUGAAACAUCUAAGUACCCCGAGGAAAAGAAAUCAACCGAGAUUCCCCCAGUAGCGGCGAGCGAACGGGGAGGAGCCCAGAGCCUGAAUCAGCAUGUGUGUUAGUGGAAGCGUCUGGAAAGGCGCGCGAUACAGGGUGACAGCCCCGUACACAAAAGCGCAUAUGCUGUGAGCUCGAUGAGUAGGGCGGGACACGUGGUAUCCUGUCUGAAUAUGGGGGGACCAUCCUCCAAGGCUAAAUACUCCUGACUGACCGAUAGUGAACCAGUACCGUGAGGGAAAGGCGAAAAGAACCCCGGCGAGGGGAGUGAAAAAGAACCUGAAACCGUG